Molecule: ribosomal RNA, 545 nt
Filed under: uncultured Methanosarcina sp.
Lineage: Archaea; Methanobacteriati; Methanobacteriota; Methanomicrobia; Methanosarcinales; Methanosarcinaceae
Description: bacterial SSU rRNA
Rfam family: Archaeal small subunit ribosomal RNA
Source: RNAcentral
CAACAACGGGUACGGGUUGUGAGAGCAAGAGCCCGGAGAUGGAUUCUGAGACAUGAAUCCAGGCCCUACGGGGCGCAGCAGGCGCGAAAACUUUACAAUGCGGGAAACCGUGAUAAGGGGACACCGAGUGCCAGCAUCAUAUGCUGGCUGUCCAGAUGUGUAAAAUACACCUGUUAGCAAGGGCCGGGCAAGACCGGUGCCAGCCGCCGCGGUAACACCGGCGGCCCGAGUGGUGAUCGUGAUUAUUGGGUCUAAAGGGUCCGUAGCCGGUUUGGUCAGUCCUCCGGGAAAUCUGAUAGCUCAACUAUUAGGCUUUCGGGGGAUACUGCCAGGCUUGGAACCGGGAGAGGUAAGAGGUACUACAGGGGUAGGAGUGAAAUCUUGUAAUCCCUGUGGGACCACCUGUGGCGAAGGCGUCUUACCAGAACGGGUUCGACGGUGAGGGACGAAAGCUGGGGGCACGAACCGGAUUAGAUACCCGGGUAGUCCCAGCCGUAAACGAUGCUCGCUAGGUGUCAGGCAUGGCGCGACCGUGUCCGGUGCCG